RNAcentral lists this ribosomal RNA (374 nucleotides) under uncultured bacterium. Its description in RNAcentral is "bacterial SSU rRNA". It matches the Rfam family "Bacterial small subunit ribosomal RNA", at positions 142 to 507 of the family's 1533-position model. The record is from RNAcentral.
AAUAACGUAGACGAAAGUUACGCUAAUACCGCAUAACGCCCUGGAGGGGGAAAGCGAGGGGAUCGCAAGACCUUGCGCGAAUGGAGCGGCCGAUGUCAGAUUAGCUAGUUGGUGGGGUAAAGGCCUACCAAGGCGACGAUCUGUAGCGGGUCUGAGAGGAUGAUCCGCCACACUGGGACUGAGACACGGCCCAGACUCCUACGGGAGGCAGCAGUGGGGAAUUUUGGACAAUGGGCGCAAGCCUGAUCCAGCCAUGCCGCGUGCGGGACGAAGGCCUUCGGGUUGUAAACCGCUUUCAGCCGGAAAGAAAUCGCCAAGGCUAAUAUCCUUGGUGGAUGACGGUACCGGAAGAAGAAGCACCGGCUAACUACGUG